CCAGCUCCAAUAGCGUAUAUUAAAGUUGUUGCAGUUAAAAAGCUCGUAGUUGAAGGGGUGAGGGCGCGGGGGUGUUUGCUGCAAGGCACAACAGGCCUCGUGGCCUCAAAUGGGGAGGGGGAGUUCCUGUCAAAGGGGGCGCCGACUCUGCGGUUACUUUGAAGAAAUUAGGGUGUUCAAAGCAGGCGAGAGCUUGAAUACAUUAGCAUGGAAUAACGGAUAAGGACUCGUGUCUUGUUUGUUGGUUUGAGGGCGUGAGUAAGGAUUAAUAGGGGCAGUUGGGGGCAUUAGUAUUCAGUAGUCAGAGGUGAAAUUCUUGGAUUUACUGAAGACUAGCUAGUGCGAAAGCAUUUGCCAAGGAUGUUUUCA
RNAcentral lists this ribosomal RNA (369 nucleotides) under uncultured Paramicrosporidium. RNAcentral describes it as "SSU rRNA". It matches the Rfam family "Eukaryotic small subunit ribosomal RNA", at positions 585 to 972 of the family's 1831-position model. The record is from RNAcentral. Lineage: Eukaryota; Fungi; Rozellomycota.